UAGUUGCUGUGAUGAAUCAUGAAGCUAUCACAUGUCAGACUUCAGAGGUUUUUUCUACUUGAAAAGAUCUAUGAGACAAACAUUCAUGUUUCUGAGCAGAAU
Molecule: small nucleolar RNA, 102 nt
Organism: Corylus avellana
Lineage: Eukaryota; Viridiplantae; Streptophyta; Magnoliopsida; Fagales; Betulaceae
Product: small nucleolar RNA R64/Z200 family
Source: RefSeq, a predicted model, not a curated record